UACGUAGGGUGCAAGCGUUAAUCGGAAUUAUUGGGCGUAAAGGGUGCGCAGGCGGAUGUAUAAGUCAGAUGUGAAAUCCCCGGGCUUAACCUGGGAAUUGCGUUUGAAACUAUAUGACUAGAGUGUGGUAGAGGGGAGUGGAAUUCCAUGUGUAGCAGUGAAAUGCGUAGAGAUGUGGAAGAACACCGAUGGCGAAGGCAGCUCCCUGGAUUAACACUGACGCUCAUGCACGAAAGCGUGGGGAGCAAACAGGAUUAGAUACCCUGGUAGUCCACGCCCUAAACGAUGUCAACUAGUUGUCGGAUCUGUUAAAAGAUUUGGUAACGGAGCUAACGCGUGAAGUUGACCGCCUGGGAAGUACGGUCGCAAGAUUAAA
This 376-nucleotide ribosomal RNA is filed under the name uncultured bacterium. RNAcentral describes it as "bacterial SSU rRNA". It matches the Rfam family "Bacterial small subunit ribosomal RNA", at positions 524 to 898 of the family's 1533-position model. The record is from RNAcentral.